AACGAACGCUGGCGGCGCGUCUUAAGCAUGCAAGUCGAACGGCAAGAGAGAAGCUUGCUUCUCUCCUAGAGUGGCGGACUGGUGAGGAACACGUGGGUAAUCUACCCUUAAGAUGGGGAUAGCUGCUAGAAAUAGCAGGUAAUACCGAAUACACUCAGUUUUUCAUAAGAAGGAUUGAGGAAAGGAAGCUACGGCUUCGCUUGAGGAUGAGCUUGCGUCCCAUUAGCUUGUUGGUGAGGUAACGGCUCACCAAGGCGACGAUGGGUAUCCGGCCUGAGAGGGUGAUCGGACACAUUGGGACUGAGAUACGGCCCAAAUCCUACGGGAGGCAGCAGCUAAGAAUAUUCCGCAGUGGACGAAAGUCUGACGGAGCGACGCCGCGUGGAUGAAGAAGGCUGAAAAGUUGUAAAAUCCUUUUGUUGAUGAAGAAUAAGGGUGAGAGGGAAUGUUCAUCUGAUGACGGUAAUCAGCGAAUAAGCCCCG
Molecule: ribosomal RNA, 483 nt
Filed under: Treponema sp. oral taxon 228
Lineage: Bacteria; Pseudomonadati; Spirochaetota; Spirochaetia; Treponematales; Treponemataceae
Description: bacterial SSU rRNA
Rfam family: Bacterial small subunit ribosomal RNA
Source: RNAcentral